Arabidopsis thaliana (thale cress) is the source of this 427-nucleotide long non-coding RNA. RefSeq annotates it as other RNA. The record is from RefSeq. NCBI's taxonomy places the organism in Eukaryota, Viridiplantae, Streptophyta, Magnoliopsida, Brassicales, Brassicaceae. The transcript has a single exon.
CCAUUAACCGCACAUUUCUCUUCUUUCUGGUUAAGUUUAUUCUUCGAUAGGCUUCAGAACUUAUCAUCAUCAUCUUUUUAUUUAGUCUCUCUUGUUCUCUGAAAACAUUUAUCGAAGGAUCAAUUAAACUUAACAAUCAUCUUCUUUCUCAAUUUCUUCUGAUACCUCAUCUCUAUCUUCUAAUUCUCAUCUUAAUUCUGCUAUUUCUUUGAUAAGUCUAUUUCGUGCUUAUCAAGAUUCAUGUUUUGGAUACAGUACUUCAUCCACAAAUAAAAGGAACGCUGAUAAAUCUGGUUUUAUGGUUCCGAGUCACUAGAGAGGGUCUGGAUUUAUUGGGACUACUAAUAACUUGGAAAGGAUUGGUGGGAAUGGAACGGUGAGGCUGAAUCAAAGGAUUUAAUUUGUUGGGGGCUUGGAGCUUGGUAAC